Molecule: unclassified non-coding RNA, 296 nt
Organism: Erinaceus europaeus (western European hedgehog)
Lineage: Eukaryota; Metazoa; Chordata; Mammalia; Eulipotyphla; Erinaceidae
Gene: 7SK
Rfam family: 7SK RNA
About the family: 7SK was discovered as an abundant small nuclear RNA in the mid-70s but a possible function has only recently been suggested. Two independent studies have found that 7SK RNA binds the CDK9/cyclin T complex (known as elongation factor P-TEFb).
Source: Ensembl
GGAUGUGAGGGCGAUCUGGGUGCGACAUCUGUCACCCCUUUGAUUGCCAGGGUUGAUUCAGCUGAUCUGGCUGGCUAGGCGGGUGUCCCCUUCCUCCCUCAUCACUCCAUGAAGCUGCACGCUCAGUUGAAGAGGACAGCCUUCCUGGAACAGAGACAGAACAGUCUUUGGUCGAGGGUAAAGGAGGAGCUGCACUCCCCUGCUAGAACCUCCAAACAAGCUCUCAAAAACUGUAAUUCUGCCAUAUACCUUACAACAGUUUUAAUUGUUUAAGGAAAUGCAUUUAUUCUUUGAAU